This 466-nucleotide ribosomal RNA is filed under the name uncultured bacterium. RNAcentral's name for it is "partial 16S ribosomal RNA". It matches the Rfam family "Bacterial small subunit ribosomal RNA", at positions 28 to 506 of the family's 1533-position model. The record is from RNAcentral.
GAUGAACGCUGACAGAAUGCUUAACACAUGCAAGUCAACUUGAAUUUGGGUUUUUAACUUAGGUUUGGGUGGCGGACGGGUGAGUAACGCGUAAAGAACUUGCCUCACAGCUAGGGACAACAUUUGGAAACGAAUGCUAAUACCUAAUAUUAUGAUAAUAGGGCAUCCUAUAAUUAUGAAAGCUAUAAGCGCUGUGAGAGAGCUUUGCGUCCCAUUAGCUAGUUGGAGAGGUAACGGCUCACCAAGGCGAUGAUGGGUAGCCGGCCUGAGAGGGUGAUCGGCCACAAGGGGACUGAGACACGGCCCUUACGCCUACGGGAGGCAGCAGUGGGGAAUAUUGGACAAUGGACCGAGAGUCUGAUCCAGCAAUUCUGUGUGCACGAUGAAGUUUUUCGGAAUGUAAAGUGCUUUCAGUUGGGAAGAAACAAAUGACGGUACCAACAGAAGAAGUGACGGCUAAAUACGU